Molecule: ribosomal RNA, 254 nt
Filed under: uncultured bacterium
Lineage: Bacteria
Description: partial 16S ribosomal RNA
Rfam family: Bacterial small subunit ribosomal RNA
Source: RNAcentral
UACGUAGGGUGCGAGCGUUGUCCGGAAUUAUUGGGCGUAAAGAGCUCGUAGGCGGUGUGUCGCGUCGGCCGUGAAAACCUGCAGCUUAACUGUGGGCUUGCGGUCGAUACGGGCAUCACUGGAGUUCGGCAGGGGAGACUGGAAUUCCUGGUGUAGCGGUGAAAUGCGCAGAUAUCAGGAAGAACACCCGUGGCUAAGGCGGCUCUCUAGUACGGAACUGACGCUGAGGAGCGAAAGCCAGGGGAGCAAACGGG